Molecule: unclassified non-coding RNA, 22 nt
Filed under: Mus musculus (house mouse)
Lineage: Eukaryota; Metazoa; Chordata; Mammalia; Rodentia; Muridae
Description: oocyte_clustered_small_RNA11659
Source: RNAcentral
CGGAUAAGGAUGCGGGCAGGGG